RNAcentral lists this transfer RNA (85 nucleotides) under Bacteroidota bacterium. RNAcentral describes it as "Bacteroidetes bacterium (marine metagenome) tRNA-Leu". It matches the Rfam family "tRNA". Rfam says of the family: Transfer RNA (tRNA) molecules are approximately 80 nucleotides in length. Their secondary structure includes four short double-helical elements and three loops (D, anti-codon, and T loops). Further hydrogen bonds mediate the characteristic L-shaped molecular structure. tRNAs have two regions of fundamental functional importance: the anti-codon, which is responsible for specific mRNA codon recognition, and the 3' end, to which the tRNAs corresponding amino acid is attached (by aminoacyl-tRNA synthetases). tRNAs cope with the degeneracy of the genetic code in two manners: having more than one tRNA (with a specific anti-codon) for a particular amino acid; and 'wobble' base-pairing, i.e. permitting non-standard base-pairing at the 3rd anti-codon position. Lineage: Bacteria; Pseudomonadati; Bacteroidota. The record is from RNAcentral.
GCGAGCAUGGCGGAACUGGCAGACGCGCAGGAUUUAGGUUCCUGUACCUCCGGGUGUGUGGGUUCGAGUCCCACUGCUCGCACCU